CAACAUUGGGCAUCAUUGAAAAUUGCGAGUUCUUUCGGUGUGGAUUUUCGCCGACCUCCUCCGAUCUGUCGACUUUGGUGGGCGAUUAGCGUGAAAUACAUUUCGCAGAAGUCAAGUGGAUAACGCUUGUGUUUGGCGUUUGCUUUCGAGGAGUGAAAUGUCGACGCAAAAGGCCCGGAGACGGCAGCAAUCAGUCUACGCUUCGCCCGACGCCCGUUUCAUAAACAUGGUGUCACUCGCAGCCGGAAUGCAGAAAGCCACAAGAAACUCGAACCCGGACACGAAUUUCACGCCAACUACAGUGGAAUAGAAUUGCGCACAGCCAAGAACGAAGAAUGGGCGUCUGUGAAAAUUUUUCGUGGGAUACAAUCAUCGCACGUAUGGCUGAGCAAAACCAACAACGGGACACGUGAACUGUACAUUGCCAGGACAGGAAAGAGCAAGCUUAAGAACGUGUCUCUGUAACCCCGUGGAACAUAUCGGCUGCAAGUAAUGUUACUCGGAAUAAACUGGUUGAUAUCAGUAAAGGCUAUUUUUAUUCACAAGUCACAAGUCUCCAGAAUUACAGCUGGCACUACCCACAGUUAUCAAUCGACUUUGCGAGAAUAAAACAAGCUUUCUUUCUU
This is a long non-coding RNA of Ornithodoros turicata, 626 nucleotides long. RefSeq lists it as uncharacterized. The transcript is spliced from 3 exons. Lineage: Eukaryota; Metazoa; Arthropoda; Arachnida; Ixodida; Argasidae. The record is from RefSeq and is a predicted model, not a curated record.